Molecule: ribosomal RNA, 498 nt
Filed under: uncultured bacterium
Lineage: Bacteria
Description: partial 16S ribosomal RNA
Rfam family: Bacterial small subunit ribosomal RNA
Source: RNAcentral
GAUGAACGCUGGCGGCGUGCCUAAUACAUGCAAGUCGAGCGAACAGACGAGGAGCUUGCUCCUCUGACGUUAGCGGCGGACGGGUGAGUAACACGUGGAUAACCUACCUAUAAGACUGGGAUAACUUCGGGAAACCGGAGCUAAUACCGGAUAAUAUAUUGAACCGCAUGGUUCAAUAGUGAAAGACGGUUUUGCUGUCACUUAUAGAUGGAUCCGCGCCGCAUUAGCUAGUUGGUAAGGUAACGGCUUACCAAGGCAACGAUGCGUAGCCGACCUGAGAGGGGGCGAGGCCACAAGGGAAACGAGACCCGGCCCCAGCCCCCGCGGGGGGGCGCAAGAGGGAAUUCUUCGGAAAGGGGCGAAGGUUGGACGGACCACCGCGGGGGGAGGGAUGAGGGUUUUGGUAUCUAAAACCUUUUUUAUGGGGAAAAAAAAAGUGGGAAAGUAAAUAUGCCCGUCUGGAGGUACCCUAAUAAGAAACCCAGGACAAAUGCGGGC